UGCUUUUCUUAGCUUAGUGGCGAACGGGUGAGUAACGCGUGAGUAACCUGCCCUGGAGUGGGGGACAACAGUUGGAAACGACUGCUAAUACCGCAUAAGCCCACGAUCCGGCAUCGGAUUGUGGGAAAAGGAUUUAUUCGCUUCAGGAUGGACUCGCGUCCAAUUAGCUAGUUGGUGAGGUAACGGCCCACCAAGGCGACGAUUGGUAGCCGGACUGAGAGGUUGAACGGCCACAUUGGGACUGAGACACGGCCCAGACUCCUACGGGAGGCAGCAGUGGGGGAUAUUGCACAAUGGGGGAAACCCUGAUGCAGCGACGCCGCGUGGAGGAAGAAGGUUUUCGGAUUGUAAACUCCUGUCGUUAGGGACGAUAAUGACGGUACCUAACAAGAAAGCACCGGCUAACUACGUGCCAGCAGCCGCGGUAAAACGUAGGGUGCAAGCGUUGUCCGGAAUUACUGGGUGUAAAGGGAGCGCAGGCGGACCGGCAAGUUGGAAGUGAAAACUAUGGGCUCAACUCAUAAAUUGCUUUCAAAACUGCUGGCCUUGAGUAGUGCAGAGGUAGGCGGAAUUCCCGGUGUAGCGGUG
Molecule: ribosomal RNA, 588 nt
Filed under: uncultured Lachnospiraceae bacterium
Lineage: Bacteria; Bacillati; Bacillota; Clostridia; Lachnospirales; Lachnospiraceae
Description: bacterial SSU rRNA
Rfam family: Bacterial small subunit ribosomal RNA
Source: RNAcentral